This 460-nucleotide ribosomal RNA is filed under the name uncultured bacterium. RNAcentral describes it as "partial 16S ribosomal RNA". It matches the Rfam family "Bacterial small subunit ribosomal RNA", at positions 338 to 795 of the family's 1533-position model. The record is from RNAcentral.
CCUACGGGAGGCAGCAGUGAGGAAUAUUGGUCAAUGGGCGGGAGCCUGACCCAGCCAAGUCGCGUGAGGGAAGACGGUCCUAUGGAUUGUAAACCUCUUUAGGCGGGGAGCAAUGCCGGGCACGCGUGCCCGUAUGGAGAGUACCCGCAGAAUAAGCAUCGGCUAACUCCGUGCCAGCAGCCGCGGUAAUACGGAGGAUGCGAGCGUUAUCCGGAUUUAUUGGGUGUAAAGCGUGCGUAGGCGGCUUGUUAAGUCAGCGGUAAAAUGUCCGGGCUCAACCCUGGCCGGCCGUUGAAACUGGGGAUCUUGAGUGGGCGAGAAGUAUGCGGAAUGCGUGGUGUAGCGGUGAAAUGCAUAGAUAUCACGAAGAACUCCGAUGGCGAAGGCAGCAUACCGGCGCCCGACUGACGCUGAGGCACGAAAGCGUGGGGAUCGAACAGGAUUAGAUACCCCUGUAGUC